UACGUAAGGGGCGAGCGUUGUUCGGAUUUCUUGGGCGUAAAGGGCGUGUAGGCGGUUCUGUAAGCUUGGUGUGAAAGGCUAAGGCUUAACUUUAGGAUUGCGCUGAGAACUGCAGGGCUUGAGUGUAGGAGGGGGAUACGGAAUUCCUGGUGAAGGGGUGAAAUCUGUAGAUAUCAGGAAGAACACCGGUGGCGAAGGCGGUAUCCUGGCCAUACACUGACGCUGAGGCGCGAAAGCGUGGGGAGCGAACAGG
Molecule: ribosomal RNA, 253 nt
Filed under: uncultured bacterium
Lineage: Bacteria
Description: partial 16S ribosomal RNA
Rfam family: Bacterial small subunit ribosomal RNA
Source: RNAcentral